This 912-nucleotide ribosomal RNA is filed under the name Campylobacter jejuni. RNAcentral describes it as "partial 23S ribosomal RNA". It matches the Rfam family "Bacterial large subunit ribosomal RNA", at positions 332 to 1247 of the family's 2925-position model. Lineage: Bacteria; Pseudomonadati; Campylobacterota; Epsilonproteobacteria; Campylobacterales; Campylobacteraceae. The record is from RNAcentral.
GCAGAACAUUCUGGAAAGUAUAACCAUAGAGGGUGAUAGUCCCGUAUGCGAAAAACAAACCUUAGCUAGCAGUAUCCUGAGUAGGGCGGGACACGAGGAAUCCUGUCUGAAUCCGGGUCGACCACGAUCCAACCCUAAAUACUAAUACCAGAUCGAUAGUGCACAAGUACCGUGAGGGAAAGGUGAAAAGAACUGAGGUGAUCAGAGUGAAAUAGAACCUGAAACCAUUUGCUUACAAUCAUUCAGAGCCUUAUGUAGCAAUACAGGGUGAUGGACUGCCUUUUGCAUAAUGAGCCUGCGAGUUGUGGUGUCUGGCAAGGUUAAGCAAACGCGAAGCCGUAGCGAAAGCGAGUCUGAAUAGGGCGCUUAGUCAGAUGCUGCAGACCCGAAACGAAGUGAUCUAUCCAUGAGCAAGUUGAAGCUAGUGUAAGAACUAGUGGAGGACUGAACCCAUAGGCGUUGAAAAGCCCCGGGAUGACUUGUGGAUAGGGGUGAAAGGCCAAUCAAACUUCGUGAUAGCUGGUUCUCUCCGAAAUAUAUUUAGGUAUAGCGUUGUGUCGUAAUAUAAGGGGGUAGAGCACUGAAUGGGCUAGGGCAUACACCAAUGUACCAAACCCUAUCAAACUCCGAAUACCUUAUAUGUAAUCACAGCAGUCAGGCGGCGAGUGAUAAAAUCCGUCGUCAAGAGGGAAACAACCCAGACUACCAGCUAAGGUCCCUAAAUCUUACUUAAGUGGAAAACGAUGUGAAGUUACUUAAACAACCAGGAGGUUGGCUUAGAAGCAGCCAUCCUUUAAAGAAAGCGUAAUAGCUCACUGGUCUAGUGAUUUUGCGCGGAAAAUAUAACGGGGCUAAAGUAAGUACCGAAGCUGUAGACUUAGUUUACUAAGUGGUAGGAGAGCGUUCUAUUUG